RNAcentral lists this ribosomal RNA (427 nucleotides) under uncultured bacterium. RNAcentral's name for it is "bacterial SSU rRNA". It matches the Rfam family "Bacterial small subunit ribosomal RNA", at positions 355 to 774 of the family's 1533-position model. The record is from RNAcentral.
UGGGGAAUCUUCCGCAAUGGACGAAAGUCUGACGGAGCAACGCCGCGUGAGUGAAGAAGGCCUUCGGGUUGUAAAGCUCUGUCUUUGGGGACGAACGUGCCUAUCAUAAAUAAUGAUAGGUAAUGACGGUACCUAAGGAGGAAGCCACGGCUAACUACGUGCCAGCAGCCGCGGUAAUACGUAGGUGGCAAGCGUUGUCCGGAAUUAUUGGGCGUAAAGCGCGCGCAGGCGGGAUAUCAAGUCUAUCUUAAAAGUUCGGGGCUCAACCCCGUGAUGGGAUGGAAACUGGUACUCUUGAGUGUCGGAGAGGAAAGUGGAAUUCCCAGUGUAGCGGUGAAAUGCGUAGAUAUUGGGAGGAACACCAGUGGCGAAGGCGGCUUUCUGGACUGUAACUGACACUGAGGCACGAAAGCGUGGGGAGCAAACA